AGUGAACGCUGGCGGCAGGCCUAAUACAUGCAAGUCGAACGGCAGCACAGCAGAGCUUGCUCUGUGGGUGGCGAGUGGGCGGACGGGUGAGGAAUACAUGGGAAUCUGCCCAGUCGUGGGGGAUAACGUAGGGAAACUUACGCUAAUACCGCAUGCGCCCUUCGGGGGAAAGCCGGGGACCGUAAGGCCUGGCGCGAUUGGAUGAGCCCAUGUCGGAUUAGCUAGUUGGCGGGGUAAAGGCCCACCAAGGCGACGAUCCGUAGCUGGUCUGAGAGGAUGAUCAGCCACACUGGAACUGAGACACGGUCCAGACUCCUACGGGAGGCAGCAGUAGGGAAUAUUGGACAAUGGGCGCAAGCCUGAUCCAGCCAUGCCGCGUGAGUGAAGAAGGCCCUCGGGUUGUAAAGCUCUUUUGUCCGGAAAGAAAGCGCCGGGUUAAUACCCUGGUGUCCUGACGGUACCGGAAGAAUAAGCACCGGCUAACUUCGUGCCAGCAGCCGCGGUAAUC
This 508-nucleotide ribosomal RNA is filed under the name uncultured bacterium. RNAcentral describes it as "bacterial SSU rRNA". It matches the Rfam family "Bacterial small subunit ribosomal RNA", at positions 29 to 525 of the family's 1533-position model. The record is from RNAcentral.